This 247-nucleotide ribosomal RNA is filed under the name uncultured bacterium. RNAcentral's name for it is "partial 16S ribosomal RNA". It matches the Rfam family "Bacterial small subunit ribosomal RNA", at positions 523 to 769 of the family's 1533-position model. The record is from RNAcentral.
AUACAGAGGGUGCGAGCGUUAAUCGGAAUUACUGGGCGUAAAGCGUGUGUAGGUGGUUGUAUAAGUUAGAUGUGAAAGCCCCGGGCUUAACCUGGGAAUUGCGUUUAAGACUGUAUGACUAGAGUACUGUAGAGGAUAGUGGAAUUUCCAGUGUAGCGGUGAAAUGCGUAGAUAUUGGAAGGAACACCAGUGGCGAAGGCAAUCCCCUGGGCCUGCACUGACGCUCAUGCACGAAAGCGUGGGGAGC